This 286-nucleotide long non-coding RNA is filed under the name Olea europaea (common olive). RNAcentral describes it as "long non-coding RNA (OEUR_LNC012094)". The record is from RNAcentral. Lineage: Eukaryota; Viridiplantae; Streptophyta; Magnoliopsida; Lamiales; Oleaceae.
GUACAAAAGGCCAACCCAAAACCAUUUGUUUGGACAAUCCAAGCAACUAUUGGAUUGGGGCCACAUGAUUACAAAAUUUAGAGCUGGACUCAUGGAAGCAAACUGGACCCGAUGAUUUUGAAUGCACAAUUUGUCUACAAAUAUUGGCAAUCCAAGGUUUAUGUUACAGCCAUCUAAAUAUGGUGUCACUUUUUAAUUACAAACUCUACAUUCAUAAACCAGAAUGAGUAUUUUUAUUUGCAGUCGUUCACUAUCGUAAUCGUUUUAUUUGAUAUAUAUGUAACCG